AGCAUUUUUUAGAGUGUAGAUAUUUCUUUUCUCUUCCUGCCUCUAGUUGGGUCCCUGCAGCAGAUGUCAGAUUCGGGUUAUGAGAGUCUAAAGAAUGAGGUGAAUACUGACACAGAGGACAUUUCUAAGACCCGUCCUCUUAAAGACAGUCAUAGUAUGGACUCACUCAUGUCACUGAGUGAUUGUGAACUCGAUUGUCCAGAAAACGACUUGCUGUCUUCCAGCCCAUUGGCACAAAUCAGAAACUGUACAUCCGCAGUGCGUCAACUCCUAUCCCUUAAAUUACACAAACACUCCAUGUCCACCAUUGCUUUGACUUCUCAUGAGCAGGAAAUAACCAUACAAAGUGGAAAACAUGAAGAGUUUAAGAGACCUGAUGAGGUCAAUGAUAAUGUGUUUUUGGAUCAAACCUUUCAACAACUGAAUUUCAUGAGAGAAAAACAAACUCCACCAACCUCCAGUGUAUCAUCGCCAGUGACUUCACCAACAUACUCACCUGUGAGUUCAAUAGACAGUCCAUUUUCUCUGUCCACCAGAAAGACCCUUCAUUCUCCUCAGGAUUCUCCAGCCAAGGUUGAUUUACUCACUCAAAAUGGCACAGAUUACCAAUACUCGAACAGCUUGCCCAAUGAGAAAUUAUCUCCACCAAAUAAUCAGAGGAACUUCACUGAUAUUAAAGGGGGUUUACAGCCUAAAAUGCCCAAAAAUCCUCCUCCUUAUCAGCAGGCCUUACAAAAGCUCAACAGAAAACCGUUCUCACAGACUCCCACUCAAACGCCUUUACAUAAAGGAAAAGGCCUUUUCUACAAGGGGCCCGGGAGCCCCACGCACAGCCCUUUAGGAGACCCCAAGGUUUCCCCUGACCCUCAGACCUGUCAAACCAGGACUGAAGAAGAGGUCAAGCUACCACAGAGUGUGUUUUAUGGACAGAGUUGCAAGUUGGCGGUGCACAAAAUCAGGGGACAGAAGGCAGGUUUGAAGUCUACCAAACUUUCUGGGCAGCAGUUGAGGUUUAAAGCACUUGAUUUGCACCCCUCCUCUGGAAAAAUAGUCAGGGACUACUUGGGACUCAGAGAGAAGCAAGCUGUUGGGAGAGGCCAAAAGCUCAGCUGUUGCAGUAGCAGCCAGUGGAUUGUGUGAAGCCAAUGGGAAGUAAUUUCAAAAACAGUACAAACACUGGGACCC
Molecule: long non-coding RNA, 1185 nt
Filed under: Sinocyclocheilus anshuiensis
Lineage: Eukaryota; Metazoa; Chordata; Actinopteri; Cypriniformes; Cyprinidae
Description: lncRNA (ENSSANG00000049226.1)
Source: RNAcentral